This 492-nucleotide ribosomal RNA is filed under the name uncultured bacterium. RNAcentral's name for it is "partial 16S ribosomal RNA". It matches the Rfam family "Bacterial small subunit ribosomal RNA", at positions 29 to 507 of the family's 1533-position model. The record is from RNAcentral.
AGUGAACGCUGGCGGUAGGCCUAACACAUGCAAGUCGAACGGCAGCACAGUAAGAGCUUGCUCUUACGGGUGGCGAGUGGCGGACGGGUGAGGAAUACAUCGGAAUCUACUUUUUCGUGGGGGAUAACGUAGGUAAACUUACGCUAAUACCGCAUACGACCUACGGGUGAAAGCAGGGGAUCUUCGGACCUUGCGCGAUUGAAUGAGCCGAUGUCGGAUUAGCUAGUUGGCGGGGUAAAGGCCCACCAAGGCGACGAUCCGUAGCUGGUCUGAGAGGAUGAUCAGCCACACUGGAACUGAGACACGGUCCAGACUCCUACGGGAGGCAGCAGUGGGGAAUAUUGGACAAAGGGCGCAAGCCUGAUCCAGCCAUACCGCGUGGGUGAAGAAGGCCUUCGGGUUGUAAAGCCCUUUUGUUGGGAAAGAAAAGCAGUAGGUUAAUACCCCGCUGUUCUGACGGUACCCAAGGAAUAAGCACCGGCUAACUUCGUG